CCUACGGGUGGCAGCAGUGAGGAAUAUUGGUCAAUGGUCGGGAGACUGAACCAGCCAAGCCGCGUGAGGGAUGAAGGUACAGAGUAUCGUAAACCUCUUUUGUCAGGGAACAAAGGCGGGGACGCGUCCCCGGAUGAGUGUACCUGAAGAAAAAGCAUCGGCUAACUCCGUGCCAGCAGCCGCGGUAAUACGUAGGUGGCAAGCGUUAUCCGGAUUUAUUGGGUGUAAGGGGCGUGUAGGCGGGAAAGCAAGUCAGAUGUGAAAACUCAGGGCUCAACCCUGAGCCUGCAUUUGAAACUGUUUUUCUUGAGUGCUGGAGAGGCAAUCGGAAUUCCGUGUGUAGCGGUGAAAUGCUUAGAUAUCACGAAGAACUCCGAUUGCGAAGGCAGCUCACUGGACUGCAACUGACACUGAGGCUCGAAAGUGUGGGUAUCAAACAGGAUUAGAUACCCCAGUAGUC
Molecule: ribosomal RNA, 460 nt
Filed under: uncultured bacterium
Lineage: Bacteria
Description: partial 16S ribosomal RNA
Rfam family: Bacterial small subunit ribosomal RNA
Source: RNAcentral